Molecule: ribosomal RNA, 350 nt
Filed under: Streptococcus mitis
Lineage: Bacteria; Bacillati; Bacillota; Bacilli; Lactobacillales; Streptococcaceae
Description: bacterial SSU rRNA
Rfam family: Bacterial small subunit ribosomal RNA
Source: RNAcentral
GGGGGAUAACUUAUUGGAAACGAUAGCUAAUACCGCAUAAUAGCAGUUAUUGCAUGAUAACUGUUUGAAAGGUGCAAAUGCAUCACUACCAGAUGGACCUGCGUUGUAUUAGCUAGUUGGUGGGGUAACGGCUCACCAAGGCGACGAUACAUAGCCGACCUGAGAGGGUGAUCGGCCACACUGGGACUGAGACACGGCCCAGACUCCUACGGGAGGCAGCAGUAGGGAAUCUUCGGCAAUGGACGGAAGUCUGACCGAGCAACGCCGCGUGAGUGAAGAAGGUUUUCGGAUCGUAAAGCUCUGUUGUAAGAGAAGAACGAGUGUGAGAGUGGAAAGUUCACACUGUGACG